GCCAUUUUAUAUAUUGUCAUUAUAUUAAAAGAAACACUAAACUCAGAAAUACCAAAAGCAUUACAUUGUCUUUUUAUUAACCUUAGCGGAUGUAUCUUGUAAUGGAGCUGUGUGAGCAUGGAGAAAUCUUAGUACUAAAGGACAUUUUACAGAAAAUCAGACAAAGUGCAUCAUUCAGAGUCCUACUUCAGCAACAGCACACCAAUGGUAUAUUUAAGAUUCUGUACCAGGGAUCUGUUGAGAGCUCUUUUUAUUCUCUGUAGUCACUGAAAAGGAAGAAAUGCUGUUUUUGAAUACGAACAUGAACUAACGGUAUGAACAUAUGUGUAAAUUUGAUAAUUAUACAACCAAUUUUUCUGUCACAUGGUGUUAGGUAAUUUACUGAUUUAAGGACUGGGACAUUAUGAACUUUCUCCUUUCUUUUUUUUUUUUUUAACCAAUCUUUUGUUUACAGGAUUUUGGUUAGGCUUCCAGUAACUCAGAGUAAAAUCAUAUAAUCUUAGAAUCACUGAGGUUGGAAAAGACCUCCAACAUCAUCCAGUCCAACCAUCCACCUACCAUCAAUAUUUCCCCACUGCAGUACGUCCCUCAGUACAA
This 597-nucleotide long non-coding RNA is filed under the name Numida meleagris (helmeted guineafowl). RNAcentral's name for it is "lncRNA (ENSNMEG00000010440.1)". The record is from RNAcentral. Lineage: Eukaryota; Metazoa; Chordata; Aves; Galliformes; Numididae.